ACGGCUCAGUAACACGUGGACAACGUGCCCUUAAGUGGAGGAAAACCUCGGGAAAUUGAGGAUAAUACUCCAUAGAUCAUGGAAUCUGGAACGAUUCAUGGUUCAAAGUUCCGGCGCUUAAGGAUCGGUCUGCGGCCUUUCGUUUAGUAGUGUGUGUAACGUACCUACGAGCCUAUGACGGGUAUGGGCCUUGAGAGAGGGAGCCCAGAGUUGGAUUCUGAGACACGAAUCCAGGCCCUACGGGGCGCAGCAGUCGCGAAAACUUCACAAGGGGCGCAAGCCCGAUGAGGGAACUCCUAGUGCUAGCACUUUUGGGUUAGCUUUUCUUUAGCGUAGAUAACUAAAGGAAUAAGGGCUGGGUAAGACGGGUGCCAGCAGCCGCGGUAAUAC
Molecule: ribosomal RNA, 390 nt
Filed under: uncultured archaeon
Lineage: Archaea
Description: bacterial SSU rRNA
Rfam family: Archaeal small subunit ribosomal RNA
Source: RNAcentral